GCGGAUCUUCAUUAGCUUGCUUUUGAAGAUCAGCGGCGGACGGGUGAGUAACACGUGGGCAACCUGCCUGUAAGACUGGGAUAACUUCGGGAAACCGGAGCUAAUACCGGAUAAUCCUUUCCCUCACAUGAGGGAAAGCUGAAAGACGGUUUCGGCUGUCACUUACAGAUGGGCCCGCGGCGCAUUAGCUAGUUGGUGAGGUAACGGCUCACCAAGGCAACGAUGCGUAGCCGACCUGAGAGGGUGAUCGGCCACACUGGGACUGAGACACGGCCCAGACUCCUACGGGAGGCAGCAGUAGGGAAUCUUCCGCAAUGGACGAAAGUCUGACGGAGCAACGCCGCGUGAACGAUGAAGGCCUUCGGGUCGUAAAGUUCUGUUGUCAGAGAAGAACAAGUACCGGAGUAACUGCCGGUACCUUGACGGUACCUGACCAGAAAGCCACGGCUAACUACGUGCCAGCAGCCGCGGUAAUACGUAGGUGGCAAGCGUUGUCCGGAAUUAUUGGGCGUAAAGCGCGCGCAGGCGGUUCCUUAAGUCUGAUGUGAAAGCCCCCGGCUCAACCGGGGAGGGUCAUUGGAAACUGGGGAACUUGAGUGCAGAAGAGGAGAGCGGAAUUCCACGUGUAGCGGUGAAAUGCGUAGAGAUGUGGAGGAACACCAGUGGCGAAGGCGGCUCUCUGGUCUGUAACUGACGCUGAGGCGCGAAAGCGUGGGGAGCGAACAGGAU
Molecule: ribosomal RNA, 729 nt
Filed under: Bacillus sp. (in: firmicutes)
Lineage: Bacteria; Bacillati; Bacillota; Bacilli; Caryophanales; Bacillaceae
Description: bacterial SSU rRNA
Rfam family: Bacterial small subunit ribosomal RNA
Source: RNAcentral